Oryza sativa Japonica Group (Japanese rice) is the source of this 189-nucleotide microRNA precursor. It matches the Rfam family "MIR812 microRNA precursor family". The record is from Rfam. NCBI's taxonomy places the organism in Eukaryota, Viridiplantae, Streptophyta, Magnoliopsida, Poales, Poaceae.
AAUAAGUACAGCCGUGGGUAUCCGUGUCCAACAUUUGACCGUUCGUCUUAUUUGAAAAAUUUAUAAAAAAAUUAAAAAAAUAGUCACACAUAAAGUACUAUUCAUGUUUUAUCAUCUAAUAAUAAUAAAAAUACUAAUCAUAAAAAAAUUUCAAAUAAGACAAACGGUUAAACGUUGGACGUGAACAGU